AUGGGUGUGAACUCAAACAGAGUUGAGCACUUAGCUUGCAAUAAUGAUGGCAGCAGCAUGAAGAUGCAAGCUGAGAUACAAAUGCCACCCUUUGAAAUUCACAAGGUUAUGUUGCCACCAGAGCGCACCACCUUGCAAAAACUCAGACACAGACUCUCUGAGAUUUUCUUCCCUGAUGAUCCACUCCAUAGGUUCAAGAACCAAACAUGCCUCAUGAAGCUCCUCCUUGCUCUCCAAUACUUGUUCCCCAUUUUCCAAUGGGCCCCCAACUACAACCUUUCCCUUCUCCGUGCUGACAUCAUCUCUGGUCUCACCAUUGCUAGCCUCGCCAUUCCUCAGGGAAUCAGCUAUGCUAAGCUUGCAAACUUGCCACCUAUUCUUGGAUUAUAUUCCAGUUUUGUGCCUCCGUUGAUAUAUUCACUGCUUGGAAGUUCUAGACAUAUCGGUGUUGGUCCAGUUUCAAUUGCAUCUUUGGUCAUGGGAUCAAUGUUAAGCGAGACGGUUUCUUUUACUCAAGAUCCAAUUCUCUAUCUUAAGUUGGCUUUCACUGCCACUUUCUUUGCCGGUUUGUUCCAAUCUUCUCUGGGCAUAUUAAGGUUAGGAUUUGUAAUUGAUUUUCUCUCAAAGGCAACACUGGUAGGUUUCAUGGCCGGUGCAGCCAUCAUAGUGUCACUGCAGCAGCUGAAAGGGUUGCUUGGAAUAGUUCAUUUCACCAACAAGAUGCAAAUAACACCUGUACUUAUCUCAGUUUUCAAGCAAAGACAUGAGUGGUCAUGGCAAAACGUUGUACUAGGAUUCGGUUUCCUAGCAUUCCUAUUGACAACAAGGCAUAUUAGCUUGAAGAAGCCAAAAUUAUUCUGGGUUUCAGCAGCUGCCCCGUUGACAUCAGUCAUUCUCUCAACUAUUUUAGUAUUUAUUCUCAGAAAUAAGACUCAUAAAAUUCCUAUUAUCGGUGAAUUGCCAAAGGGACUUAAUCCACCAUCAUCAAACAUGUUAUACUUCAGUGGUCCUUAUUUGGCUCUUGCUAUCAAAACAGGACUUGUCACUGGGAUCUUGUCCCUCACUGAAGGAAUUGCAGUGGGGAGAACAUUUGCUGCACUUAAGAAUUACCAGGUGGAUGGAAACAAAGAAAUGAUGGCCAUUGGUCUUAUGAACAUAGCUGGCUCUUGUUCUUCAUGCUAUGUCACUACAGGAUCCUUUUCUCGAUCAGCUGUUAACUAUAACGCCGGGGCUCAGACAGCAGUCUCAAAUAUAAUCAUGGCAUCAGCAGUUCUUGUGACCCUUUUGUUUCUCAUGCCACUGUUCUACUACACACCGAAUGUGGUCUUAGCAGCCAUUAUCAUCACUGCAGUUGUAGGGCUAAUAGAUUACCAAGCUGCAUAUAAAUUGUGGAAGGUUGACAAGCUUGAUUUCUUGGCCUGCUUGUGCUCCUUUUUCGGUGUUCUGUUCAUUUCAGUGCCUUUAGGCCUUGGAAUAGCGGUGGCAAUAUCAGUUUUCAAGAUCCUGCUUCAUGUCUCUCGGCCAAACACAUUGGUUUUGGGGAAUAUACCAGGGACACCAAUAUUCCACAACCUAAACCAAUAUAGAGAAGCUUUGAGGAUUCCUUCAUUUAUCAUUUUGGCUGUUGAGUCUCCUAUCUACUUUGCUAAUUCAACGUACCUCCAAGAAAGGAUACUGAGAUGGGUUCGAGAAGAGGAAGAGCGAGUAAAAGCAAACAAUGAAAGCACAUUGAAGUGCAUAAUUUUGGACAUGACAGCCGUUACAGCCAUAGACACAAGUGGGAUCGAUACUCUAUGUGAACUCAGAAAAGUGCUAGACAAAAGAUCACUUCAGCUUGUGUUGGCAAAUCCUGUUGGAAAUGUGAUGGAAAAGUUGCAUCAAUCAAAUAUUUUGGAUUCCUUUGGGUUGAAAGCAGUCUAUCUUUCAGUAGGAGAAGCUGUGGCUGACAUUUCAUCUGCCUGGAAAGCUCAGCCUUGAUUCCCAUAGAUGAAUUUCUAGGGCAAAAGGAAAAACAUGACUGCUUCUAAUUGUUGGAGAAAACUCUUAACAUCAGAAGUUCUUUGCCUCCCUUAUACAGUCUACUUUGUUUUGGUAGAAACCUUGACAAACAAGGCAUUAGUUCUUCCAGAAGAGCUUUUCUUGUCCUAGGAUUUUACUUUUCUGUAUUCGGUUACUUUUUGUCCAUUUUUGGCUUUUGCUAGAGGGAAAGAGCAUCCAAGCAAAAAUAUUAGGAUGCUUUUAUUCUGUGGACAUUGAUAAAUAUGAAUAGAUAUUUUAAAAGCAGAGAAAGGAUCAAAGA
Cajanus cajan (pigeon pea) is the source of this 2299-nucleotide non-coding RNA. The record is from RefSeq and is a predicted model, not a curated record. NCBI's taxonomy places the organism in Eukaryota, Viridiplantae, Streptophyta, Magnoliopsida, Fabales, Fabaceae.